AGCGGAGUCAGGUUGCGGGUCCAGGAUUCCCUCCAGGUUUUGAGCUCCGGGCUGGCGCUGGAUGCUCCGAGAAGGCGGACGUGGAGGGCAAGUGAGCUCUUCAAACCCAGUGGAUUUUCAGGUGUCAAGGAGAGCUGUGAUAAUUCAGUGACCACCAGGGGGCAUCAGGACCUCUGGGUGUCCAAGCCAACGAAGUCCACACUGAAUAAAAAUGAGGCUAAAAACCUUACUUUAUGGCAAGAGAAGAAUCCGUUAUUUCAGGCAGGGGGAGCAACACGACAAACGUGCAGAGCAAGCACCUUGUGAAAUGAGCUCACAGCACUGGCUACAGCAUGAAGUUCGUGAGGAGUGCUGGCAUGGUUUCAUGAAGCAAGUUGACACCUUGGAAAUGUCCACACUCAAGGAACUGAGAGUUCCCUCUGGCCAACUACCAGUGAGAAACUGAGGCUCUCAGUCCAAC
Molecule: long non-coding RNA, 460 nt
Organism: Globicephala melas (long-finned pilot whale)
Lineage: Eukaryota; Metazoa; Chordata; Mammalia; Artiodactyla; Delphinidae
Source: RefSeq, a predicted model, not a curated record